This 253-nucleotide ribosomal RNA is filed under the name uncultured bacterium. RNAcentral's name for it is "partial 16S ribosomal RNA". It matches the Rfam family "Bacterial small subunit ribosomal RNA", at positions 524 to 776 of the family's 1533-position model. The record is from RNAcentral.
UACGGAGGGUGCAAGCGUUACUCGGAAUUACUGGGCGUAAAGCGCACGUAGGUGGUUUGCUAAGUCAGCUGUGAAAUCCCCGGGCUCAACCUGGGCACUGCAGUUGAAACUGGCAAGCUAGAGUAGGGUAGAGGGGUGUGGAAUUCCAGGUGUAGCGGUGAAAUGCGUAGAUAUCAGGUGGAACACCGGUGGCGAAGGCGGGUAACUGGCCAAACACUGACGCUCAAACCCGAAAGCGUGGGGAUCAAACAGG